AUUCAAAAUUUCGCUUUUCCCAAAACAAAGUUAAAGAAAAUAUAUGAAGUCAAUGAUAAAUCUUAAAGUUUUACAAAGAGUAAUAAAUAGAAGUUAUUAAAUGUUGGUGGCUCAUCAUGCAAUGCAUUUGAGAAGGGGAUGCUUUCAAAGUUAAGAUUGCUUUCCUGAUUCCUACAGCAAAAAAAAAACUUUAAAAUGCUGGUAGCAAUAUUUUAAAGAGUGCAUCUGAUCGAAAAGAAAGUGAAUGGCGUCAACUGUUCGAAAAUUCGAUUUUUGGAAAUUAACAAGUGGAAGAAGAAGUUUACAAAGUUGUAAUUUAUAAAACUCAGCACAAUUAUAUUAUUAAAAAAUUUAAA
This is a long non-coding RNA of Hydra vulgaris (swiftwater hydra), 356 nucleotides long. RefSeq lists it as uncharacterized. NCBI's taxonomy places the organism in Eukaryota, Metazoa, Cnidaria, Hydrozoa, Anthoathecata, Hydridae. The record is from RefSeq and is a predicted model, not a curated record.